UACCUCCUCUCUCGGACGAUGAGAAAGAUCCAUCCAUUGCUGAAAGGUGACGCACCUGGUAACCAGAUAAAUCCUCAGGAUUGAAGCGAGCGUCGAGGUGGAAAUAGCUGCCAUCAGGAAGAACAGAACCACAGGAUCUGUGAGUCAAUGGAUCAAUCCCCAUCUGUAACAAUUGCUUCUUGAGGUGUGUGUUCCAGUGGUUUUUAAUCUCGUUGUCAGUUCGUCCAGGAAUGUGCGAUGCGAUCACGGACCACCUGAAAGUGAGAAACGCAAGAACUUAGAGGUAAAACUCUACAAACUCUUACCGGUUACCCAGGAUUGAAUGCAGCCAGAUGAUGAGAACCUCUUCUUGGGCUGUGAUCCCGCCUCGUUUUAUAUCCGGCCGGAGAUAGUUCGUCCAUCGCAGCCUGCAACUCUUGCCGCAGCGAUUAAGUCCUGCUCGCAAGAUCCAAGAGAAACUAUGAGACGAAGAUGUGAGAAAUCGAUUCACCUGCUUUCUCCGGUAGCGCUCUCCAAUUCUCGUGACCGUGUUUCCGAAUGUAAGCGACGAGCUUCUCGUCUUCCUCGGGCUGCCAGGGGCCUUUCGUGAGUCCCUCUUUGUUCCGGCGAGGAGGCCUCCCCAUUGCAAAGCACGGAGAAGUAAAGAGAGCGUUCUAUACACGCUGUGAUUGUGUAUUUAUUUGUACACUUUUCCAGUGUAAGAAGCCUGGAGUGUGAGCUAGAUUGCUAGACUUCUCCCUUUGGUCAAAAGGUUUCUUUUGGAUUCAUCGCUUUAGAGUUAUAGAUCGUCGCGGCUUUCAAAAGCUUGUCUUGUCUUUUAGACGCGUUCCAGAAGACCAUGUCAUCGCUGCCGUAUAUCUCUAUGGAAAAACUUAGUCAAUGCAGUUGCCGACCAUACAGUACCCAAGUACGAAGGACAUGGAGAAAGUUUGGAAUGUUCGCCACCUUUUUCGUUUGAAAAGAAAGUAGGAGCGAAGAAUUACCUGGAGCUGGACGUUUUGAUCGAUCAUGUCAUUCAUACAUCAUAUAAAUUUAAAUAUAAUUAUAAUUAACUAAUAAUAAGUAUAAUUAUUACAGUUAUAAUUAAUUACUAAUGUCUAUAACUAUAACUAAUUAUAUUAUUUCUUAAAGGUAGAGAUAAACCCUAAAGGUCCAAAUCUUAAACCCUAAAGGGUCCAAAACCCUAAAUCCUGGGGAGAAAAUGGCACAGCUACUGGGGAGCGCUCUCGGCCCGGCGCGGCCAAUCCCUCGCAAGAAUGCGGCGCCGUCCUCCAUCGCCAGGGCAUCGGUGAGCUCCUCCCCCACAGAGAUCGCCGCUCCAUCGCGGCAGCAGGGCGCCGGCGAGCACGCGAUCGUGUUGAAUCGCUACAGCAGCCGCGUGACGCAGCCCAAAUCCCAGGGCGCGUCGCAGGCCGUGCUCUAUGGCGUGGGGCUGCGUGACGAGGACAUGGCCAAGGCGCAGGUCGGGAUCUCCUCGGUGUGGUACGAGGGCAACACUUGCAAUAUGCAUUUGCUCAAGCUCUCCGAGGCUGUCAAGGAGGGCGUGCGCGAGGCUGGCAUGGUGGGAUUUCGAUUCAACACCGUGGGGGUGAGCGAUGCCAUCUCGAUGGGCACCGAGGGGAUGUGCUAUAGCUUGCAGUCGCGGGAUUUGAUAGCUGAUAGCAUCGAGACCGUCAUGGGUGGACAGUGGUACGAUGCCAAUGUCUCCAUUCCAGGCUGCGAUAAGAAUGUAGGUGAUCGAGCAAGCUCUUUCGAAAACUUCUCUAUGCUCUCCUUUCUCUUUCUUGUUUCUUUUUUGUUUUCUCAUUCUUUCUUUUUGCUUUUAGAUGCCAGGAACUCUCAUUGCAAUGGGAAGGCUGAAUCGACCAAGUAUUAUGGUUUACGGAGGAACUAUCAAAGUAAGUUUUCUCUUUCUUUUUGGUUUCUUUUGUUCGUGCUUGCUGAAAGUGUUGGUUCAGCCAGGAAUCGUGAACGGGCAUACGUACGAUAUAGUGUCAGCUUUCCAGGUAUUUCUGGUUCUUUGUUUUUCUCAUGGUGGCCGCGUAAACGAAGCCUAUGCUGUGUUUUCGUUGUCUUCUCGGUUUAUUUUUCUUAACGUACAGAGCUACGGAGAAUAUGUUGGUGGUCACAUUUCUGACGAGCAGCGACUGAAAGUUUUGCAACAUUCAUGUCCAGGUGCUGGAGCUUGUGGUGGAAUGUACACGGCAAAUACCAUGGCCAGCGCCAUUGAAGCCUUAGGCAUGUCCCUUCCUUACAGGUCUCUCUCUUAGUCUUUUACGUGUUUUCCGAUAUUAUUUAUUUGUUAUUUCUUUUGUAAAUGCAGUUCUUCCAUUCCAGCUGAAGACCCUCUGAAGCUACAAGAAUGCCGACUGGUGGGAAAACACUUGCUGGAGCUGCUGAAGAUGGACUUGAAGCCGAAAGACAUAAUCACGAAAGAGUCGCUUCACAAUGCCAUGGUCGUCGUAAUGGCGCUGGGAGGAUCGACAAAUGCCGUGCUACACCUGAUCGCAAUUGCGAGGUAGUGAAAAUCUGAUCUUUCUGGUUGUUAUUGAGUUUCGCUAGUUACGCAGGUCAGUAAACGUACCACUGACCUUGGACGACUUUCAGAAAGUUAGUGACAAAGUUCCGUUUAUCGCUGAUCUUAAACCCAGCGGGAAGUAUGUAAUGGAGGACUUGCAUAAGGUCUGUAAUUCCCAGUUUUGUGGUGACUCACAAUAUAUUGCGAUGUCACAGAUCGGUGGAACGCCUGGCGUUUUAAAGUAUCUGCUUGAGGAGGGCUACCUCAAUGGCGACUGCAUCACUGGUAACUUCAAGAAAUGGAGUGAUCUUGCGCGAAGUAACGUUUUUUUUUUUUGUUUCUCUCUCUCUCUCUUUUCUGGUAUGUCCAGUGACUGGCAAGACCUUGUCGGAAAAUAUAUCCAUCUGCCCGCCCUUGAGCGAGGGACAGGUAACAACUUAAAUUCAGCCUGGUGUUUCCUUGACACAAUAUUUCACAGGAUGUCAUACAUCCUCUAGAUCGGCCGAUCAAGUCGACUGGCCACAUACAGACCUUGCUCCCGAGGGCUCCGUUGCAAAAAUCACUGGGAAAGAGGGUCUUUACUUUUCAGGUGGAAAUGCAUUUUGUUGUUUGUUCUUUUUACUAAUUACGAGAUUUUUGCUUGCCAGGUCCUGCUCGGGUUUUCGAAGGCGAAGAAGCUAUGCUUUCAGCGCUGUCUGAGAAUCCUCAAAGCUUCAAGGUAUACUUUUUUCUCUAUGUCCAAAACAAGAUAUGAUAAUCACUGGUGAUCGGUGAAAUGCUCAGGGCUCCGUGAUUGUUAUCAGGGGAGAAGGUCCCAAAGGUGGUCCGGGAAUGCCUGAGAUGCUAACUCCUACAAGUGCGAUCAUGGGUGCUGGCUUGGGGAAGGUGUGUAAAGUUCGUUUUCUAUGUUUCGCCAUGAAAAUCUCACUCCCUUUCUUUCCAGGAAGUAGCUCUCCUCACGGAUGGGAGAUUUUCAGGAGGUUCUCAUGGUUUUGUCGUUGGACACAUUUGUCCAGAAGCCCAGGUACUCACACAAACGAGCUCAUUUCUUGAUAUGAUAUAAGCAACUUCUCCCCACUCGCUCGGUCUCUUUGCUUGUUUCUAGGGUAGUGAGUGUUAGCAUGUAGAAGCUCUCAUAGAUUCUAUCCUAUCUUCUCCAUCAGUUCUGUGCUUCAAUGAUUUUGUUUGUGUGUGUGAUGUCCUGAUGCAGCAAUUCUCUGCUAAGGUGGAGCACUUCUUUCCCACCAGCGACCAUGUUGGGCAAUGGGAGGAAGCUUGCAAGCUGGUUGCAUUCCUGGAGCAGUUGAAGAAUGACAACUAUGUCACCGUAGACAAGGUUUUUCUCCUUUUACUCUUUGUUCCUUACUUCCCAUUUCUUUAUCUUUUGUUUUCCAGGUUGUUCGUUUUUUUUGCUUUUGAUCACAUAACAAUCUCAGCUCUUAGGGACAUUCUCGAACUGUUUUGCAAUUAUUGUUAUUGCCGCCUCAUCGUCCCUGCCGUCCUCAUCAUCUUUGUUUUUUUCCACCAUUAUUGUUAUCUUUGCCAUCACUGCCCAACUUGCCGGAAUUGCCAGUUUCAGCUGCCAAAGGUUUACCGUUAGAUUCAUUGAAACUGUCAGUGGCAGCUGCUAACAGUUCACCGCUAGAUUCGUCGGAACUGCCAACACCAGCUGUCAAAAUCAUUAUUUCUAGGCAUUAUAGUGUCCUUGGGAAAAACUUCGAAAGGUGAUUUCUUUAACUUUUUCUUAAAUGCUCUUUGAACGUUUGAACGCUUACUCAAGUCGGUUGGAACGCAUGAUCCUGAAUACACUUUUGAUUGCAAGUGGGGGAAAUUCAAAAUUUAUAUGAAUAAAAGGUAUUGGAAAAUAGUUGAGCUAGAACCCGAUGGUGGCACAUUACAUUCGAGGCCUCCAUGGGAAUCCUCGAAUGUAAUGUAUAGAGACAUCUUCCAAUAUUUACUGUUCAUGUAAGUCUUGAUUUUUCCCGCACUCCGACCGAAUCUAUUGAGUAAGCGUUUUGACAUUCAAAAAGCAUUUAAGAAAAAAUUCAAAAAAUCACCUUUUGAGGCUCUUUCAAGGAGAUUGUAGUACCUGGAAUCAGUGACGUGACAGUUUUGGCAGUUAGUGAUGGCAGUUCCAGCGAGUCUAAUGGUGAGCCGUUAACAGCUAGCAUUGACGGUUUCGGUAUGUUUGGCAGUGAGCCUUUGGCGGUUGGCAUUGAUAGUUUCGGGUGGUGAUGGCGAAAAUAAUGAUAAUGGUGAAGAUGACAAAAAUGGUAAGGACAGUGGGGAUGAUGAGGCGGCAAUGGCAAUAAUUGCAAAGCACUUUAAGAAUGUCCUUGAGAGUUAAGAUUGUUCUAUGAUAGAUUUUGUAGAGCAUCGCAUUUUGUUUUGUGAAAUUCAAAGAUCAAUAAUAAAACAUAUUGUCAUUGUCAUGCUUAGCCAGUGUGAAAACAGAUAACACAGAGGCUACCAAACUACCAAACAUUUCUGGGCAAUAGAAACUUUUCUAAUGAAUGUCACAGCUUUCUAAAAUCCUUUAACUGGAAUAAUACAAAAGGUGAAGCCCAGGACAACAAGAGUGAGCUCUGGGCGAAGGCAAGCAAUGCAAUGGUAGGGAAUCGUCACUGGCAGAUCAAACCCAGUCCCAUUACGAGGACAAUGGCAUGUCAAGAGACUAGCAACUCCAUCAAGUGCUUUGGAAUGGACAAGAUCUAUCGAGAAGAGACAGAGACUGAAGGACCCAGGCUUCACUGGCACUGGCCAGCCAUGUAUAUUCCACUGCAAGCUCAGGACCUGGACAUGAAUGCUGCAAAUUUUCAGUCGCUGCUCGUCAGAAGUACGUUAAACAACAAAUUCGCACCAGGAGAACCAAAAACAUUUUUGUACACUGAUCAUAUGCAUGCCUGUUGAUAAUUCAGGCAUACAUGUCGAUAAUGUUGGCUGCUGAUAGCAUUUGCAGCUAGCAUGAACAAAAAAAACGAAAACGAACUCACGUUGACAGUUCCUUCGUGAUCGAUUACGUCACCAUCAACGUUGAUGUAUCCUCCUUGGAACACUCUUCCACUGGGAACACUUGCACCUAUAUAUGCAUCAAAGAUCAAACAAAGCUUCGAGUGAGACAUAUGUGAGAUACUUGCAUUCCACCGCUGUAUGCUCGCAAGCAGGCCAAUGAACUUGAGUCCCGGAGAACAAUGAGAUCCAAAGACCAUCUGCGAACUAGAACAAAAAAAAGAGUUUUGGAAGGAGAACUUACACAGAUCUCUGGCUGUAGUAGCAAUUUUUCCAGCAUUGUAACAAGCUACACAACCAGAUCUAGAGGACGAAAAUCGGCCUCAACCAUGAUGCUAUCCAGGAACCGGACACGAAGUGUGGCCUGCAAGGAGAAAAGCAUGUAAGUCAGACGAUCCAUGGAGUGACAAUUUCAUUACCUUAGCAAACUUGGAUCUACGAGCUGCUGCCUCAGCGUCACGGCUUUUUGCUGUCUUCAAGAAUCUCUCUGGAAGGAAAACAAAAAAAAGGAAACUUUGAGUGAAAGAUCAUAUGGAAGAAACCAACACGAUCGAACCUGCCGACCUUUUCUUUUCUUGGACACCAAUCGGGCAUAAUCUUCCGGAGUUAGCUCGUAGAAUUCAUCGCUCUCGGCCUCCUCUGCCCCACCCAUCAAAAUCGAAAACUCGGAAAGGACUUCUCUCGCCUUUGCCAGUCGCGUGCUGAAUCGGGGCCUCCAACGCCGCGGGAUUGACGAACACACUUGAGAAUUCUUGGAAGAACUCUAAUAAGGUCUUUAUGGCGACCACGGAAGCGCAUUGUCGGCGCCUGGCAGCAAUCGCUGGUUUGUACCGUGUGAUCGAACUCUCCAAUCCUGAAAAUUCUCUCUUACAGGCGGCAGUGAGAAGCUGGAUUGAAAGACAUCUCCAAGUGAUUUUCCCGCGCUAGGGUGGGGGAGGACGAUCCACGACUGGAUUGGAGAAGCGCAUUGACGGAUUGGAUUGGAGGUAUGCCGCGCUGCUCGAGAGAUUCAAGCGGCCGAAGAUUGGGGGCGGGGAUUCCCGUGAAGCCGCCAUUGGCACCAAAGAAGCCGCUGGAUGAUUGGGUCUUUGUAUAUGGCCAUCCAAAACGACUGAUUUUUCUUGUUCUUUGUUCCCUUCCAUUUUUUUUCCUUGUUUCUUUGUUUCUUUGGUUCCAUUUUUGCUUCUGUUUUUCCCUUUCUUUUUCGUUCUUUGGGGAUGCUUACCGGACGAAUGCUAUGAUUCUGUACAGACGUUCCAGGUAGUUUUUCUCCCUUCGAUCGUCACAAUCUAUCUAAAAAAAUGGUCGUUUUGUUCCUUCUUCCAGAAGAUGGAAGCCACUGGAGUUUUAGUUGGAAAGCGAAGACUCUACGACUACUUGGGUGAGAACUCGUUCUUUCUUGCGAUGGAUGAUAGAUGUUCUUAUGUAAAUGUAGCUGGUGGAGUAUAUUUUGCACAGCCUGCAACGCGAAGAGCCCGCUAUCAAGAGGAUUGGAGGAAUUAGAGACAAGGAGGUAUGCAUCACCUUUUCGAAAGCCUGGAAUGAUUUUUCUUAGAUGGAACAAUGCACCAUGAGCUUAUCCAACUUACUGUAGUAGUUGCCACUAUUGUUGAGAGAGAGGAAGAACUAUAUAAUCUUGAUAGUGGUUUUAUAUAUAGUUUACAUGAGAACCAAGUAGGUAGUAGUAGGAGUUGAAUUUGGUUAGAAUGAGUUAGUUGGAAAAGAAAUCUACCAUACAAGAUGUUUGACAGAGAGGUGAGGUUGUCUUUGUGAUAAAGUCUAAAUACGUUUCUUUCGUGUUUCAGGAGCUCUGGUGGCUUAUAAAGAAUCUCAAGGAAAGGAUUUCCAUGAGAGACAAGCUUCCAAUGAAGGAUCCGCUGUGGGAGCAUCAAUCAACGAAAUGUAUCCGUGCCGAGAACCGUUUGAGACGUUUCUUACAAGAUCUAGCCCGGAGAGAUUACAGUGGUAAAGCUUGGAGGAUAUGCAUUUGUUCUCAACUGGAAGUAGCACGAUGGUAAGCGAGUUUUAUUCGUAUGAUUACUGACGCUUCUUAUUUCUUCUCCAGAAGGUCAGAUCAUUCCGAGAAUACAGUGUCACAUUCCAACAGCCUUUAAAAUGGUCGUCCAAAACUCGCUGGAUUCCAUCGUUUCUAACAUUCGUUUAGUACCUCCUCUCUCGGACGAUGAGAAAGAUCCAUCCAUUGCUGAAAGGUGACGCACCUGGUAACCAGAUAAAUCCUCAGGAUUGAAGCAAGCGUCGAGGUGGAAAUAGCUGCCAUCAGGAAGAACAGAACCACAGGAUCUGUGAGUCAAUGGAUCAAUCCCCAUCUGUAACAGUUGCUUCUUGAGGUGUGUAUUCCAGUGGUUUUUAAUCUCGUUGUCAGUUCGUCCAGGAAUGUGCGAUGCGAUCACGGACCACCUGAAAGUGAGAAACGCAAGAACUAG
RNAcentral lists this long non-coding RNA (7971 nucleotides) under Selaginella moellendorffii. RNAcentral's name for it is "long non-coding RNA (SMOE_LNC001375)". Lineage: Eukaryota; Viridiplantae; Streptophyta; Lycopodiopsida; Selaginellales; Selaginellaceae. The record is from RNAcentral.